AGAGUUUGAUCCUGGCUCAGGACGAACGCUGGCGGCGUGCUUAACACAUGCAAGUCGUGGGCACCAGCAAUGGUGACCGGCGAACGGGUGCGUAACACGUGAGCGACCUACCGAUACGUGGGGGAUAGCCGGCCCAACGGCCGGGUAAUACCGCAUACGCCGAGCUUGCUUCAUGGCUUGCUCGGGAAACCUCCGGGGCG
Molecule: ribosomal RNA, 200 nt
Filed under: uncultured bacterium
Lineage: Bacteria
Description: partial 16S ribosomal RNA
Rfam family: Bacterial small subunit ribosomal RNA
Source: RNAcentral